AUGAACUGGAUCCGCCAGAGACCCGGGCAGGCGCUGGAGAAGGUUGCGAGUAUCAGCUACCGGCUGAUCCUGGUGCCCCUCCCAGGGCUCCGGGCGGCCGUGACCCUGCUGGAGUGCGGGGGGGACCUCCAGCCCCCCGGGGCGUCCCUGCGCCUCCUCUGCCGAGCAUCCGGGUUCGAUUUUGGAGGUUUUGGGAUGCACUGGGUGCGCCAGAGACCCGGGCAGGGGCUGCAAUGGCUCGCAGGGAUCACCAGCAAUGGUGCUUACACCGCGUACGCGCCAUCGGUCAAGGGCCGGUUCACGAUCUCCAGGGACAAAGGGCAGAGCUCGGUGACGCUGACCAUGAUCAACUUCAAGGACGAGGAUUCCGCCACCUAUUUCUGUGCCAAAUAUGCUGGGUCACGGCCGCUCGGAGCCCUGCGGGACAAAGGGGAGGUGAUGGAAAUGAAAAACCUGAUCGCUUGA
This is a non-coding RNA of Melozone crissalis (California towhee), 465 nucleotides long. NCBI's taxonomy places the organism in Eukaryota, Metazoa, Chordata, Aves, Passeriformes, Passerellidae. The record is from the annotation of a RefSeq genome assembly.